This 292-nucleotide ribosomal RNA is filed under the name uncultured bacterium. RNAcentral describes it as "partial 16S ribosomal RNA". It matches the Rfam family "Bacterial small subunit ribosomal RNA", at positions 505 to 796 of the family's 1533-position model. The record is from RNAcentral.
GUGUCAGCCGCCGCGGUAAUACGUAGGGUGCGAGCGUUAAUCGGAAUUACUGGGCGUAAAGCGUGCGCAGGCGGUUCUGUAAGUCAGAUGUGAAAUCCCCGGGCUCAACCUGGGAACUGCGUUUGAAACUACAGGACUAGAGUAUGGCAGAGGGGGGUAGAAUUCCACGUGUAGCAGUGAAAUGCGUAGAGAUGUGGAGGAAUACCAAUGGCGAAGGCAGCCCCCUGGGUCAAUACUGACGCUCAUGCACGAAAGCGUGGGGAGCAAACAGGAUUAGAUACCCCCGUAGUCC